Molecule: ribosomal RNA, 274 nt
Filed under: uncultured Parvimonas sp.
Lineage: Bacteria; Bacillati; Bacillota; Tissierellia; Tissierellales; Peptoniphilaceae
Description: partial 16S ribosomal RNA
Rfam family: Bacterial small subunit ribosomal RNA
Source: RNAcentral
AUAUUUAACGAAAGUGGCGAACGGGUGAGUAACACGUGAGCAACCUGCCUUACACAGGGGGAUAGCCAUUGGAAACGGUGAUUAAUACCCCAUAAGACCACAAUACCGCAUGGUAAAAGGGUAAAAGGGAUACCGGUGUAAGAUGGGCUCGCGUCUGAUUAGCUAGUUGGUGGGGUAAAGGCCUACCAAGGCGACGAUCAGUAGCCGGUCUGAGAGGAUGAACGGCCACAUUGGAACUGAGACACGGUCCAAACUCCUACGGGAGGCAGCAGCC